UCUCCUCUCCACCCUCGCUCACCUCGCCGCCAUCGAACUCGCCGCUGCCCCCACCGCUUCCGCAUCGCUACUUCACCGGACACUUUCGAUCCGCAGUGGACACCUUCCAUAGCGACCUCAGCGGACACCUUCGAUCCGCACGCACCUCCACCUCACCGGCCAGAUCGAUCCGCACGCACCUCCACCUCACCGGCUGCCCCUAGUCGUCUCAACCGAUGCGACCCCUGGCCGGCCGUGCGUCAUCCCGGGAUUAAUAGGUUUCUCCGUCUGGGCAUAGAAGAGGCAUUGGAUUGCAGAAAUUUCGGUCUAUUGGGAGCGCCCCAUCUCCAAAUCAGAGGACGUUAGUGCCGAGGUCAUCAUCAAGACCAUUUUGCUCGUGGCCUCCCUCAGAUCUCUUAGAUGUUCCUCCUUGGAAACAUCCGUCUACACGACGGUGCCCUGUUCAAUUAUGCAUCAACCCAGCGGCCGUGAUUAUAUGUUCUGGCUGGCAUGUCCCCUGAGCAUGCGCAACAAUAUUGUCCUGAACCACAAUGGCACUAUGUCUAGAUGGAACAACCUAACCAUGUAACAUGUUUGUGUUGUAUAUGGAGGCAAAAUUCUGAUCAUCAUUAGAAGAAAAAAAUAUUUUCCUAUAGAAGCAAAUUCUAUUGUUCGUUGGAAGCAAUGACGACAGAAAACAAUAUUUGCUUCAUUGGAAGAAGCCUCUAUUUUGU
This is a long non-coding RNA of Triticum aestivum (bread wheat), 713 nucleotides long. RefSeq lists it as uncharacterized. The record is from RefSeq and is a predicted model, not a curated record. Lineage: Eukaryota; Viridiplantae; Streptophyta; Magnoliopsida; Poales; Poaceae. The transcript is spliced from 3 exons.